Molecule: ribosomal RNA, 635 nt
Filed under: Schizophyllum sp. LPB-101
Lineage: Eukaryota; Fungi; Basidiomycota; Agaricomycetes; Agaricales; Schizophyllaceae
Description: eukaryotic LSU rRNA
Rfam family: 5.8S ribosomal RNA (bases 180-333)
Source: RNAcentral
UUUCAGUAGUGACCUGCGGAGGAUCAUUAACGAAUCAAACAAGUUCAUCUUGUUCUGAUCCUGUGCACCUUAUGUAGUCCCAAAGCCUUCACGGGUGGCGGUUGACUACGUCUACCUCACACCUUAAAGUAUGUUAACGAAUGUAAUCAUGGUCUUGACAGACCCUAAAAAGUUAAUACAACUUUCGACAACGGAUCUCUUGGCUCUCGCAUCGAUGAAGAACGCAGCGAAAUGCGAUAAGUAAUGUGAAUUGCAGAAUUCAGUGAAUCAUCGAAUCUUUGAACGCACCUUGCGCCCUUUGGUAUUCCGAGGGGCAUGCCUGUUUGAGUGUCAUUAAAUACCAUCAACCCCUCUUUUGACUUCGGCCCCAAAAGGGGUUGGAAAUGGAAGGCCGGCGGAACCCAAAGGAACCCGGUUCCCCUUAAUUAAAUAAGCGAAUUUCCCUGGCGGAACCCCGCCCCCAAGGGGAUAAUUUCAACUCCUUUAACCAUCUCGGGCCUAACCUGGGCCAGUUUCAUAAGAAUUCGGCUUCAAACCGCCUCUGGAUGGAGACAAGCAACUUGGGCGCUAACUUUUGACUUGACUUCAAAUCAGGUAGGACUACCGGCUGACCUAGACAAAAAAAAAGGGGAGUA